RNAcentral lists this ribosomal RNA (252 nucleotides) under uncultured Actinomycetales bacterium. Its description in RNAcentral is "partial 16S ribosomal RNA". It matches the Rfam family "Bacterial small subunit ribosomal RNA", at positions 99 to 334 of the family's 1533-position model. Lineage: Bacteria; Bacillati; Actinomycetota; Actinomycetes; Actinomycetales. The record is from RNAcentral.
CGAACGGGUGAGUAACACGUGAGUAACCUGCCCUCUUCUCUUGGAUAACUGCUUGAAAGGGCGGCUAAUACGGGAUGUUCUGGCUGCCUCGCAUGGGGUGGUUUGGAAAGAUUCGGCCUGGUUUUGGUUGUUUUGGUGGGGGAUGGGCUCGCGGCUUAUCAGCUUGUUGGUGGGGUGAUGGCCUACCAAGGCGGUGACGGGUAGCCGGCCUGAGAGGGUGACCGGCCACAUUGGGACUGAGAUACGGCCCAG